This is a long non-coding RNA of Herpailurus yagouaroundi (jaguarundi), 3509 nucleotides long. RefSeq lists it as uncharacterized. Lineage: Eukaryota; Metazoa; Chordata; Mammalia; Carnivora; Felidae. The transcript is spliced from 2 exons. The record is from RefSeq and is a predicted model, not a curated record.
GGCACCACCUCCCUUCCCGAAGCGAUGGAGUUCUGAUUGAUGUGAGCUCUUUGCUGCCGCCACCACCUGCCGGGCCCUCGGUGGGAGGGGGAGACUCAGUCACUCCCCUACGGGGUGGAAGCCCAUUCCUCUUUAUCUUCAUCCCCUCCCAACCUCCUGAGAGAGGGAUGCCUGUUCUGCCAAAUAUCAGACCUCUCGGCCAAGGCCACUGAGGUAGAGAUUGGAGGAUGCGCAAGUGCUUACUCCGAAGAUGGAGAAAGGAGACGACAGCGAAGGAACACAGGCUGCUUCUAGAAGCUGGAAAGGGACACGGACUUUUCCCUGUCCAAAGGGAAUGCACCCUGCCGACCACUGACGCCUUCUUCUGAUUUUAGCCCGAUGACAGCCAUGUCAGACUUCUGUCCUCCAGAAUGGUAAGGGAAUAACUUUGUGUUGUUUACGCUGUGAUUUGUUACAGCAGCGACAGGAAAGACAUGCUGCCCCUCGGUAGAGUCCACGCUGGGCCCUGGGCCCCUCCAACACUCCACGGAAGCCACAGUCCCCAUCCUCACACGUGCAGCCCUUGGCCUCCUCGCUGUGGACCUUGGGCAAGUCACGGGCUUCCCUGAGCCUCGGUUUCCUUUUGCCACAUAUCCUAUGACGAUAACGCCCAUCUUGCUGUUUGUGCAGACGACCUAAGGAAAUGCCCAGGCGGGCGGCAACCCGGCAUGUGCCCCUUACGCCUCUUCGGCCCUUUUCCAUGACAAGCGACAAGGUUUGGGCUUCUCCAGGCUUCUUCCUAACCUCACCGUAAACUGGUGGAAACCUUGCAAACUUGGGACCUUCCAAAGCCCAGAGAAGGAGAAGAAGGUGUUGCAGAUUUCCAUAGCAGCAGCCCGGCGGGGACGCACCUGCCACGACGCCGACCUGCCGAGUGUCACUUCUGACAAGGGAUCUUCGGGGACUCCCAUCUCCUAGCUGGUCACCUUGCGUCCCCAAAGCAUCCGUACCUCCAGCUGCUUGUCCCGCCUGACGUUCUUUUGGUAUAUAUUUCAACAGACUUCUCGGUUUCCUCAAAGGCAGAGUUGCUUGUGAGCUUUCUUUGUUGGGCCGGAACAUCACUGGGACUUCCCUCUUCACCCACAGGCCUGGCGGUAAAAAUAAAACCCGCCACGACUCCUCCAGGUUUCUUAUUCAAACAAAGAGCUGGGGAGUCUUGCCCUCUCAGUUAACCCGCACGGGUUCAGGAGGGCCUGGCUCCUAGUCACGACUCAACAGCCGGAGCUACUUGGAUAGGAUUGUUGCCAGGACUCUUCCUGUCAUUAGCUAAGCCCUUUCCCAGCGUGUAACUCAACUGAGCGUCCCCCAGCCCCAGCCUGGAGAGGAAGGUGGCAAAGAGGUGUCAAUCGAUCGGCCCCUGGCAGGCCCGGAGGGGGCAGUGGCUGGUGCACGCGGCUGGUCAGCGGCCGAACCAGAAUGUGUCCCCCUGCCUGGGGACAGCUGCUUAGGAGGCACGUGAGUGGCGCGGCCCAGGGUAGUUCCGGGGCUCUCUUCCCCAGGGGGCUCCCGCGUGCCCUCUGCAGCUCACCCGGGGCCAAGGGACAAGCUUCCUACCCGACCACCAGCCUAUAAUUCCCCCCUGGCUGCCCUCACCACCCCACUCCCACCUUUGAGAUUUGGAGCUGGGACCUGCAGGGCCAAGGCCGGUGGCCUGGAGAAUGUGAGAAAACACGCAGUACUCUUUCCCCUCUCUUUCCACCCAAACCGGCCUGCUGGCCAGGGGCCCGGGGCCUGCACACGCAGCCUCGGGGUACCCCCCCCCACACACACCCCUGCCCUGCAGAAGGGAGCCAGACCUCGACCUCAGAGGGUCAUCCUGGCAAGGACCGCACACAAGCCCGUGACCAGGCGGUCGUCCCGUGGACAGGCGGAGCCCCUGAGGUGGUCUGGCCAACACGGAGCGGAGGAGGCUGCUCUCAGCCAAGGAGAUCAAAGGUCACUGACUGCACCCAGGGGCAUAAUCAACACCCUGUACUGCUCUGUCACUGCUGCCGUGGGCUCUGCUGGGCUGCGGGCCCCGAGGUGAUGGCACCACAGUCAGAAAAGUCACCGGAUGUAAACAGUAUGAAGGGCCACGCCAGUGCCCUCCAGCUGAAUACGAGCACCUCCCUCCACGCAGCUGUUAACCACACCCUUGGAAAGAACCUCCUGGAUCCAGGUCCCUACAAAGUUGGUGCUAACGUGCACACCUGCCAUUGAGACCACAGUUAAGAAUGAUCUCACUGGGGCAUUUCCCCCAGGUAGGGGAUUUUUAGGUAACCAAAUAAAAACAACAACAACCAAACAACAAAAGCGACAGGCCCUGGAAGAGGCUUAAAGAAAAAGAAAGGCAGAGAACUACUAUUUCGGGUUCUGGUCAAUGUACUAUUAAGGGACUUCUGGGAAAUCUAUGGUUACCCUGAUCAUAAAGGGACAGGUUCCACAAAUGCCUGCCCUUCUACCCUUUGUCCGAACUCCCCUAUCGCCGCCAGGAAUGCAGGCACAAUGCAUGGGGGAGCAGCAGCUAUUUUGGAAGCAUGAAGACAAGAGCCAUACCCUAAGAAUACUGGCGGAGAGAGACAGAGCCCGGAGUCCUGAGCGCAUCACAAAGCCUCUGCACCGGGCCCGGAGCCCUCUUGCUCUGGACACCUUGUGACAUGAGAAACAGAAACCCUGCCCAGGUCUUUUUCAUUUGAUAUCCGUGAAUAUCCAUUCAACAAGAGGCUUGUGUUAGGUGCUCCGGAACGCAGCAGGGGACGAGACAGACAUGGUCCCUGCUCUCACGGGGUGAACGUUCUGGGGGGGACGGGGGGAACAAACAAGGACCGGCAGAAACAAGGCCAUUUCAGCAAGUAAACACUUCGCUCUGCGGCCUGCACCGGCCUGGCUUCCCGUCUUAACUGGAGAACAGACUCGCCGUGGGACCUAGAAUGGUCAUCUCUCAAUCCACCCCGACUCCCUGUCUGUAACACCAAGGAGGCAUCCCAUGCCACACUGUCUGAGGCCUGGCGCCCCUUGGCCAGGCCCCGGGGCCAGGCAGGUCAUCUACUCAGAGCAGCUGUACCCGGCGCCUGGACACCCUCCAGCCUGACUGCGUGGCCUCAGAUUCCUUGGCACUGACUAAAGAGCCGGGGGGCCCCGGUCGGCAGGCCCAAGCCUCCUGACUGCAGCCCUUUAAGGAAGGGCCGCCAAUAAAUCUCAAGCAACUGCUGAAAGCUCGGUCCCCAGCCGGCUGCGGGCUGAAGAGGCCAACUGCGGCCGAGGCUUCUCCCUGCCAGCACUGGGCACGGCCCUGGGCAGGUGGGCAAGCCGGGCGGCGAUGAGGCAGCCCCACUGGACUCUGCUGUUGCCCCAGGGGCCACCGCCCCUGCUCUGCUCACCCCCCCCCCAGCGGCCGCUAGCCACCUGCCCGGGUCAGCUACUGAACCUCACCACCCCCAACACAGCCCUGCAUGUAUAUGUAUAUAUACAUAUAUGUGGAGUGAUAUAUA